GGCAGCAGGACGGGAGCG
Molecule: microRNA, 18 nt
Filed under: Macrophomina phaseolina MS6
Lineage: Eukaryota; Fungi; Ascomycota; Dothideomycetes; Botryosphaeriales; Botryosphaeriaceae
Description: miR-4530
Source: RNAcentral